Molecule: non-coding RNA, 444 nt
Organism: Salvelinus sp. IW2-2015
Lineage: Eukaryota; Metazoa; Chordata; Actinopteri; Salmoniformes; Salmonidae
Source: RefSeq, a predicted model, not a curated record
UCCACUCUCCUGAUAAAGACAGAUGCUCCAACUCUCUGCCCCGCAGACAGCCCACAAGCCCCAGGAUUUUAGUAGAGCAGGCCUCCCCAGAGGAAGAAAGGCAGUCAGGGAGCCUGGGCAGACCUAACAGUCAGAGAGGUAACAGCAAGAAAGGCCUGGAGGCUGACAGGUAAGGUCAUUCUUUCAUUCACCCCAUCCCUCUCAUACACCCCCAUUCAUCCUGUUCUCUAUCUGGAUGGAGAUCAUCGCUCUUCAAAUCUGGAACGUGUUGAUGUCUGAUGUCAAUCUGAAUUGUUACAAUUUGUGACUUUGCUGUAAAUGCAAUUUAGCAGCACAGCAAAACCUUUUCUAAAUGAGCGUUGUUAAGGUGUACUGUCAGUAGACCCAUAGCCCUAGCUCUGUGUUUUCUUGAAUUGUUAUGUCCUUCAUUUAUUGUGUUCUGGU